Molecule: long non-coding RNA, 929 nt
Filed under: Ovis aries (sheep)
Lineage: Eukaryota; Metazoa; Chordata; Mammalia; Artiodactyla; Bovidae
Description: lncRNA (ENSOARG00000025862.1)
Source: RNAcentral
GUUUUCUGCAGGGAUAGCCUCGCAUGUGAUGCCCCACCGCGGGGCCUUCGGCUGUUAAUUAUGACCAAGGAAGAAAGUUUCCACCCAGCGGCCAGCAGGUAGGAGGCCAGCCCGGGCUCCACGGCCCUCAGUAAAUGACCUCGUUGAGGCGGCGUCUCCCUGGAUUGCAAUUACAAUCCUUCAGGCCCGACACAAAAUCAUUGGGCUGGUUUUUGUGGCUGAUUUGGCUAAGUCCAGGUCUCUCGUUCCAAGUUCCUAAUAGAAAUAUCUUUCUGGUUCUGUUCGGCUCGCAUCCCCAUUCAGAACCUCACCGGGUGAGGUUCCUGGAGAUCUUGACUGUGGAAAUGCCCCUGUCUGGAGGUUAAUUCUUUGAGAUAAAGGUGGGCAGUGGGUUUGGCUGGGUUGGAGAAAUGGGAGAGAGGUUAAGGGAAGCACAGGUGAGGCUGGAUCAGCCAGGUUGGGGGCCAGUUCUGUGUGUCUAUGCUUGGCCAGGCUAUAAUAUCCAGUUAUUUAAUCACACACGGAUCUAGGUGUUGCUGGCGAAUCCCUACAGAAGGGAUUCUGUAGAUAUAGAAUUGGUUGCCUUUCAAGUGAAGCAUGUUACCCUUGAUAGUGUAAUGUUAUCCAAUCAACUGAAGGUCUUUGGAGCAAAACCAGAGAUGAUUUCCCAGAGAAGAAAUUCUGCUGCAAGACAGUUGUAUCAACUCAUGCCUGACUUUUCAGUCACUGGAAGAUUCCAACCUGCCGCCUUAUAAGAUUUUGGACAUGCUGGUCUUCACAAUUGUGUGAGCCAAUACCUUAAGAUAAAUCCAUCCAUCCAUCCAUUCACUCACCCAUCCAUCAUCCGUCAACCUACCGAUCCAUCCAUCCAUCCAUCCUGCUGGUUCUGUUUCUCUGGAGAACUUCAACUGAUACAGCUGGUUUCUGGC